CAGCAGCCACGGUAAUACAGAGGGUGCGAGCGUUAAUCGGAUUUACUGGGCGUAAAGCGUGCGUAGGCGGCUUCUUAAGUCGGAUGUGAAAUCCCUGAGCUUAACUUAGGAAUUGCAUUCGAUACUGGGAAGCUAGAGUAUGGGAGAGGAUGGUAGAAUUCCAGGUGUAGCGGUGAAAUGCGUAGAGAUCUGGAGGAAUACCGAUGGCGAAGGCAGCCAUCUGGCCUAAUACUGACGCUGAGGUACGAAAGCAUGGGGAGCAAACAGGAUUAGAUAUCCCCGUAGUCCUUGUCUCUUAUAC
Molecule: ribosomal RNA, 301 nt
Filed under: uncultured bacterium
Lineage: Bacteria
Description: partial 16S ribosomal RNA
Rfam family: Bacterial small subunit ribosomal RNA
Source: RNAcentral